UCCAGACUCCUACGGGAGGCAGCAGUAGGGAAUCUUCGGCAAUGGGCGAAAGCCUGACCGAGCAACGCCGCGUGAAUGAAGAAGGCCUUCGGGUUGUAAAAUUCUGUUAUAAGGGAAGAAAGGUGAUAGGAGGAAAUGACUAUCAAUUGACGGUACCUUAUGAGAAAGCCACGGCUAACUACGUGCCAGCAGCCGCGGUAAUACGGAGGAUGCGAGCGUUAUCCGGAUUUAUUGGGUUUAAAGGGUGCGUAGGCGGGCUUUUAAGUCAGCGGUAAAAAUUCGGGGCUCAACCCCGUCCGGCCGUUGAAACUGGGGGCCUUGAGUGGGCGAGAAGAAGGCGGAAUGCGUGGUGUAGCGGUGAAAUGCAUAGAUAUCACGCAGAACCCCGAUUGCGAAGGCAGCCUUCCGGCGCCCUACUGACGCUGAGGCACGAAGGUGCGGGGAUCGAACAGGAUUAGAUACCCUUGCAAA
Molecule: ribosomal RNA, 471 nt
Filed under: uncultured bacterium
Lineage: Bacteria
Description: bacterial SSU rRNA
Rfam family: Bacterial small subunit ribosomal RNA
Source: RNAcentral